GUAAUAUUCAAUCUGUGUGAAUCUAUUGAAUAUCAACCCCUAACCUAUAUUCCAUAACACAAAACUCCGCCAUCUUAAUUUUUCAACAGACACUUCACUAUUGACUUUUACUCUUUCAUUGACCUUUUUCAUAUAAACGACUGUAAUUCCUAUCUCUCUGACUAUCUAUCUUGAAAUUUUCAAAUAUUCAUUAAUUCAUUUAUUAAUUCGAUAUAAUUUAGAAGCCAGCAAAGACAUGCAGCUCCUAAUCUUAACGCCGAGUUCCCAAACAGCACUUCAUAGAUAAAUAAGUAAAAUAAAUAACUACUUAACAAAACCGCGCAUAAAUUUCCCGCGGAUUCAAUCGAAAUAUACAGCAGCGUAUAUGUACGUCGUCCGGAUUCAACCAAAAUAUACAGAACGUAUAUAUACGUUGGCCGGACUCAAAGGACUAGGAAACAGCGUAAACAGUGAAACCGUUUGUUCGCAUCGUGCUAAGGAAGAGCCACUGUUUACAUUUCUACGUAUACAAAUGCUUCCAAAACGUUAUUGGCAACGAGAAAUUUGAAAAAUCCAGGGAUAUCCUGAUUAUCGCGUAAUGAACUAAAUUAGAAUAUUUGAUAAGAGCUAUAUAAUAAAAUUUAAUUGAAUUGUAAAGUAUUAUAAAUGCUAUUGGUACAAUUACAUAUAACCAUAUUGUUAUACUAUACAUAACUAUACUACAUGAUUGCUUUUAAACAAAAUCUACUACCAACCAAUUAUUCAAUUGAAUAACUGACCCCUUAUAAUAUUUCUGUCCAUAAUAAAAAGAAACGACGUAAUUACGAAAGGUUCAACCUUCAAUUGCACGCUUCAAAGCCUACAACGCCAUCAUACCCAAUAAAUUACUCAAACACAGCCUACAGUUCAACACCCAACCUAAACGCCAAUCAUUCCCAUAAAUACAUUCCUAACAUAUCUAACCUUUACAUUCUACCUACACUAUCUGGCAAACGUCGUUUUAUAUAUUUGCGUUUAUCAACUAAUAUCGAUUAUCGUCGACUAAACGAGAACUUUCGCUGCUACCGAAUAUUCACCUGACAAACGAAAACGCUUUCUACGCGUUACAAAUAAGUCGCGUGAGCGCGUUUCGUUAGGCACGCGCACGAAUUCAAAACAGACUGGAAUGGUAACGUAUAGUUAGUACCGCGAAAGUAUUUGGUCGAUCGUAGAGAUGUUUUAUUAAUAUUUAUUAAUAUAAUAAUUCAUUAUUAUAUAAUUAAAUUAUUAUUAUAUUAUUAACGAUUAUUAUAUAUUUACGACCAUUACAUUCGCGCUGUGAAAUAAUUCUUUACCAAGUAUAUGUUUGCGUUUUUCAAAAUCUACGAUAUACAGAAACGAGGAAAUAUUUACCAUAAGCUUCACAGAAAUUACUAAAGUAUUUAAACAUUCAAUUGUUCGCUAUCUCGGUACUACCCAAACAAUACUUAGUGAGACUAUCAUUAACACUAAUUAUAUGCUCAAGGCUACCAUUCGUGCGGUAUAUUAACAUUCUAUGAAAUUUAUAUUUCUAGUAAAUAUCUUCUAACUUCUAUAUAAAUUGUCAGAUCGGUUUCAAAUUUGACCAGUAUAAUCGGGGCAGACGUAUCCCGUUACAAUGAAAUUUCGAAAUGUAUUAUGUAACACGUACACAAUAUACGCAUACAUCAACGUGUCUUAUCGCAAGUGUUGAAAUUACUUUCGUCGACUACUGUAUAUGUGCGAGCGACAAAGUAAAUCUGUAUUCAUAGAGCACAACAGGACGACGAAAGGCGAUUCAAUAGACCAGCCACGGACGAGUCGAACAAAUCGAACGGAGGAUGCUUUAUAUAGCGAAAGAACGUGUAUAUCGCGUAUUGCGUCUUCGAAUGGACAGUCCUCGGACGGAAACCGCGUCGCGUUGAUUUAUAAUGCGAUACCUAUUGACGGCUGUCCAUGGAAAACAAGGUGCGUGUGUAAGGCCUUACACAUAUACACGUAAAUGAAUGUGUCUGUAUGCAAGGUUAUUGUGCGAAGUAUACAGUUGAAAUCUGGAGUAAAAUAACCAGACGUCUAUAAUGCCGCUGUCCACAAGGGACUCAAAGGAGAGAUGGAGUUACUUGACUUAUUCCGAAAUUGGAUAUCGGUAAAAAAGUAGCGAAAAGAAGCAAUCGACGGAAGCCAAUUUAUCGUUGAUCGAAGUCGAUCUACGUCAGAAAUAACAAACGAAAUAGCGAAAAAAGGAUUUGAGUAACCGCAAUGUGGAUAACCUAUUGGAAGUAAAACUUGCAGCGAAGAAAAAGUGGAAAAGCAAAAAGACUGCAAGAUAAAGUCGUGACGAAUGGAAGAAAGGUCUGGUACAUCGACAAUGAUCAUGUUACUACGUCGGAAAUUCUGUCUUCAAUUGAAGAUAACAUCUACUACUGCCUACGAUCGUGCGCCUGCUGGUCUUGGAAAGGGACUCGGUUUACGAUAAAUCGUUAUUCUUAGUUGCCUUGCUCUCUCAACGGUACAUCCUUCCAAUUAUAAAUGUAUAUAUUAAUGCGUGUAUAAUAUAAUAUGAAUUGUCAAGUUACAAUUUACGUAAUAU
This is a long non-coding RNA of Bombus terrestris (buff-tailed bumblebee), 2566 nucleotides long. RefSeq lists it as uncharacterized. The transcript is spliced from 4 exons. The record is from RefSeq and is a predicted model, not a curated record. Lineage: Eukaryota; Metazoa; Arthropoda; Insecta; Hymenoptera; Apidae.